Molecule: long non-coding RNA, 254 nt
Organism: Mauremys mutica (yellowpond turtle)
Lineage: Eukaryota; Metazoa; Chordata; Testudines; Geoemydidae
Exons: 3
Source: RefSeq, a predicted model, not a curated record
UGGCUCUGUGGGUGAUCCUGGUGAUUUUGGCUGGUUUCAUUGGCCUCACUGUUUAUCUAUUUAAAAUAAAAGGGAAACUUACUGCAGAACUUGAUUUGACUUGCUGUGUCUGAGUAGAACUCAUUGGACUCAGUGGAACUGUUCAGAUCUGUAAAGUUAAGCACAUGCAUCAAUCUUUUCAAGAUCGCUGCACAUAUAUGUUCUAUUCUGCUCCGCCUAAAGUAAAUGGGAGAUUUUUGACUGACCUCAGUGGG